Picea glauca (white spruce) is the source of this 47-nucleotide non-coding RNA. The record is from Rfam. Lineage: Eukaryota; Viridiplantae; Streptophyta; Pinopsida; Pinales; Pinaceae.
GCAAAAGCCCUAUUUAGGGCUACAUAAAAAUCUAUUGUCGAAUUUAU